UCUAGUUAACCAUCUUAAAGCG
RNAcentral lists this small RNA (22 nucleotides) under Bombyx mori (domestic silkworm). RNAcentral's name for it is "ovarian small RNA-29500". Lineage: Eukaryota; Metazoa; Arthropoda; Insecta; Lepidoptera; Bombycidae. The record is from RNAcentral.